GAGUUUGAUCUUGGCUCAGAUUGAACGCUGGCGGCAUGCCUUACACAUGCAAGUCGAACGGCAGCACGGGAGCUUGCUCCUGGUGGCGAGUGGCGAACGGGUGAGUAAUGCAUCGGAACGUAUCCUGGAGUGGGGGAUAACGUAGCGAAAGUUACGCUAAUACCGCAUAUUCUGUGAGCAGGAAAGCGGGGGACCUUCGGGCCUCGCGCUCUUGGAGCGGCCGAUGUCGGAUUAGCUAGUUGGUGAGGUAAAGGCUCACCAAGGCGACGAUCCGUAGCAGGUCUGAGAGGAUGAUCUGCCACACUGGAACUGAGACACGGUCCAGACUCCUACGGGAGGCAGCAGUGGGAAUUUUGGACAAUGGGGGCAACCCUGAUCCAGCCAUGCCGCGUGAGUGAGAAGGCCUCGG
This 409-nucleotide ribosomal RNA is filed under the name bacterium enrichment culture clone ALO1_GLFRUDD03GDTCX. Its description in RNAcentral is "bacterial SSU rRNA". It matches the Rfam family "Bacterial small subunit ribosomal RNA", at positions 9 to 420 of the family's 1533-position model. The record is from RNAcentral.